UGGGGGUAAAGCGUGCGCAGGCGGUUUUCUAAGUUUGAUGUGAAAUCCCCGGGCUCAACCUGGGAACUGCAUUGGAGACUGCCUAACUAGAGUGCGGCAGAGGGGGGUGGAAUUCCACGUGUAGCAGUGAAAUGCGUAGAGAUGUGGAGGAACACCGAUGGCGAAGGCAGCCCCCUGGGCCGAUACUGACGCUCAUGCACGAAAGCGUGGGGAGCAAACAGGAUUAGAUACCCUGGUAGUCCACGCCCUAAACGAUGUCAACUAGUUGUUGGUAGGGUUAAACCUAUUAGUAACGUAUCUAACGCGUGAAGUUGACCGCCUGGGGAGUACGGUCGCAAGAUUAAAACUCA
RNAcentral lists this ribosomal RNA (350 nucleotides) under uncultured Burkholderiales bacterium. RNAcentral describes it as "bacterial SSU rRNA". It matches the Rfam family "Bacterial small subunit ribosomal RNA", at positions 555 to 903 of the family's 1533-position model. The record is from RNAcentral. Lineage: Bacteria; Pseudomonadati; Pseudomonadota; Betaproteobacteria; Burkholderiales.